UCACAAGUCAAAGAGAAUUUCAUUUUAAUUGCUGUCAAUCGAUCAUAUGUUUGAAUUUUUUUGUUUAUAUGCUAUUAAGGCCUCACACAUAUCUUGACUUUCAGCUUGAUGCAGAUGAUUAACGUGAACUAUAUACAGUACUCCUCCUAUAUAUAGUGAUGAAUGCAAUGGUUCAAAACUUAGCAUAAAGUUAUGAUGAAUAAAUUACGUAGGCAGUUGUUAAAAUUGUUUGGCCCAAAAAUGAAAAACAAAUUUUAAUGAUGGCAAAUCAUUUCUUUGUUUUGAAAAUUAUUCUCCAGAAAAUCUCAAACUUGUUGUAAUUCGUAUUAGGUAUGGAUAUUUUGACUUAAAUCACUCAGAAAUAUUUUUAUUAUCUAAUAUAUAAAAUUCUCGUGUCAAAAGCUUUUGUGCUAAAUUCCUCCUAAAUGGCUUGACCAUUUUUCGUGAAAUUUUGUGUGCUUAUCGGUUAGGUGUGCGCAUCGUCCAACACUAUUUUCUAUCCCGAUCAGACCAGUCUUCGGGUUUUGGUUUUUUUUUUUUUUUUUUUUUUGGUUUUUGUUGCUAAAAAACUCCUCCGAAAUGGCUCUUCCGAUUUUCGUAGAUAUUGGCGAUGGGAAAGUUGCUUUACAUAAAAAUAUUGGAUGCAUCAAAUUACAGACGGACUUCCUCACAAUCAUCGACUCGCAAAAUUCUGUCAUCGAUAACAUAUUUCCCGAUGUACACACACAAUAUUAAAUCAUAAUUGGCUGGCAGAAAGAGCGAUUUUGGCAGCAAAAAAUGUGGACGUCUAUGGGUUAAAUUUAAAGUUGUUGCCUGGGGACUUGGUGUCAUACAAAUCUAUUAAUGCAGUUUGUGACGAAACUGCAACGUCACUGCGACUCCAACGAAACUGUGAUUUAUCCAAUUGAGUUUUUAAAUUCAUUAGAUUUGCCAGGCAUACCUCCACAUCAUUUACAAUUGAAGGUUGGACCUCCGAUCAUUCUGCUUCGUAACUUGAACCCACCACGGCUGUGUAAUGGCACACGAUUAGUCAUUAAAAAACAAAUGAGAAUCGUUAUUGAAGCAAUCAAUUUGAAUGGAAAGUUUCAAGGCGAAAAUGUGUUGCUGUCACGAAUCCCUAUGAUAAAUACAGAUGUGUCAAUUGAAUUCAAACGUAAUCAAUUCCCAAUUAGAUUGGCAUUCGCUAUGACGGUCAAUAAGUCACAAGGCCAGACAUUGUCUGUAUGUGGCUUAGAUUUGGAAAAAUCAUGAUUUUCCCACGGACAACUAUAUGUGGCAUGUUCUCGCGUGGGAAAACCAUCCAGUUUGUUAGUGUUGGCAAAACAACGUUUGCUGGGUAACCUUGUUAUAUUAUAUUAUAUUUUAUUCAUAUAGUCACGUUAAUUAGGCGUUUUUUAAGUUAUCGGAUUGCUAGCAAACUAAAUGGAAAAGUGGAACCUUAGCUCUGAAAGAAAGCUACAGUUGAAAGCUGCAAGUCUCUCCAGGCUUCAAAGUUGAGGAAUACGAGUUCUUGGAUGUGCAAGGCUCCAUGUUGACAAUGGAGGAGAACCAGCGGCGGCGGCCAAUGGCCAGUUCCAACAGGUAAUGCUGCAGAAGUAACCAACCAGAAACAUAAAAUUCUAAGUCAAGGAUCAGAUAAAGGUUAAAGCAGAAUUAAUAAAGGUGAAGCUAUACCAAAACAGAUGGAAGAGAAAUGAAGUUGGCCAAAUUUGACAGAACACUCCAGGAAAUCUCAGAAGCAGAUUGUUAAGUUAUUAGCCUUAAUCCACACAGCAUAGUCAGCAUACCAGUAGAAUAACAUCCUAUUAUUGUAAUACCCGAUACUCAAAAAGAGUAUAGCGGUAUAUUAUAUUUGUGGGGAAAGUGGGUGUGUGUAAGGCCCUGAAGGAAGCGUUGUAUGGGGUCGGAUAAAGUAUAUAUAUUCUUGAUCAGCAUCAAUAUCCGAGUCAAUACAGCCACGUCUGUCUAUCCUUCUGUCUGUCCAUCCGUUUGCCCGUCCGUCCGUCUUGUAUGACGGACUAUAUGAGCGACUAUAUGAGCUAGAGCAACGCAAUUUUUUAUCCAGCCUCCUUUGAUAUAACACAGAAUCAAGUUGGUUUCGAGAUUUUGCACCGCCUCUUUCAGCCCCCCAAAAGGCGAAAAUCUGUGGCAUCCACAGUUAUGUCUAACUGUCCGUCCGUACGUCUUAAUAAGCGCCUAGAUCUCGGGCUACGCCGCCAGAUAUUAGCCAUUGAUCGAUAGAAUAUAUCCAGUGGUGCAGCAGUAAAUUAAAUCCCUAUUAAUCAUUUGCACUGUUCACGUUUUCAUUAUACAUGCUCACACACGGCAGCAGCCUAUGCACCACUCAUCUUUUCGCGCCUUUCUUUCGCCAUCUCUAUCGCUCUCUCGAUCUGUGCCGCUUUCGCUUACAUUAUAGGUCACGUCCGUCUGCCCUUAAAUUUAUACUUUUAUAAAAAUCGAACCGUUUAGGCAAUUUUUAUAUAUUAGAUUUAGAUUUUAUCUGUUUUUAAUUUUUCUAUACAGCUUUUUACAUCCCUAUUUUUGUAUUCUUCCGCCAACAACAGAAAUGUUAUAUCACUCUGAAUGAGGAAGAGCUUGUAAGAGAGAGAGGAAGAAAAUGAGUAAGCGGGUGGAAGGCAUUGCGUAGCCACCAUAAUUUCAUUUUUUUCUUCUGGAUAUACUAUUAUUUUCAGCUGAUUCGGCAAUCUUUGUUUUCGGUUUUUUCGUAUCUUUAACAUUUUAAAUACCACAGACUUUCUUCUUUUGAAGGGGCGAAAUCUUUAAAUACACUUGUAACAGUGUGAUAUAACAGGAGUCUGGUCCCUUAGCUCUUAUAAUCUCGGAGAUCUAGGUGCUUAUUGGGACGGACGGACGGCCAGGCGGAUAUGACUAUAUGGACUCGGCUAUUAAUGCUGAUCAAGAAUAUACUUUAUGAGUGGAUGAAAGGAAUUUCACUAUUCACUAGUCGAUGGUAUCACAACACUUUAUAAGAUCUGGGAGUCGGACUUACUAUAAGUUAUUCAAUUUACCUAGCAACCAAAACAGUAAUUAUAAACAGCAGUCGUACACUCAAACUACGGCCUUUGGAAGCUGACAGGACGCUACAAGCGGCAACUUACACCUUGCUUUCCGGUAAGGAAGGACGGCUCAUGGGCAAGAACAGCAAUGGGCAGAGUGGAGGUUUUUCCGACGAAUCUGGAAGAAAGAUUCAAACCAUUCGGGACAUCUAGUAGAAGAGCAAUGAUGGUCACUGAAAGGCUAAAUAAGACCCACCAGAUGGAGCUCCCUGGAGCGCCAAUCACUUUUCAAGAAAUCUCGGUGGACAUAAAGAAACUUAAGUCCAAGAAGGACGCUGGCGACGAUAGGAUUGACAAUGUGACAAAGCCGCUACCUUUAACGCGUCGCUAAGACUAGCAUACUUCCCAAAAUCCUGGAAAUAUGCCCACAUAAUAAUGUUGCCAAAGGAAAACAACCAUAGACCAAUUAGUCUCAUGUCGACUUUUGGCAAAAUGUUUGACAGCUGCAUCCUACGAAGGGUACUGGAGUCGCCGCUGGUCAAAACAGCCAUGUCAAACUACCGAUUUGGGUUCAGACUUCAGCACCGCACACCCGAUCAACUGCACAGGGUAGUAGAAGACAUACAUGACGGUUUCCAAAACGAACAGUACACUGUGGCUGUUUAUCUGGAUAUUUCCCAGGCUUUCGACAUUGGGGCUCAAGGGACUACGCGCCAAGAUCAAAAUGAUGCUCAACCCUCAGCUGUAUGAAGUUAUCAAAAGCUUUCUGACGGAGAGGACCUUCCGCGUAGUCCAGGAUGGUGCAGCUUCUUUGACCAAGACCAUCAAGGCAGCGUGCUUGGGCCGACACUGUACUGCUUAUUCACCCACGACAUGCCUAAGAAAACUUUUCGAAAGUUUAUCUUUCGCCGUGUUCUUACUUAUUUGAAAAAUAAAUUGCGAAUAUAAGCCAGUAAAUUCUAGUCGCGACCGGCUAGUAUGUUUCCUAUCCACAAUGAAUGAAAAAAAUCCCAAUCUGCGCUAAUUAUAUUAUUAUUGCCAGCUUA
Long non-coding RNA from Drosophila miranda, 4063 nucleotides. RefSeq lists it as uncharacterized. Lineage: Eukaryota; Metazoa; Arthropoda; Insecta; Diptera; Drosophilidae. The transcript is spliced from 2 exons. The record is from RefSeq and is a predicted model, not a curated record.